GAAGAAGAUGGCGGAAGGCGGAGCGGCGGAUCUGGACACCCAGCGGUCUGACAUCGCGACGCUGCUCAAAACCUCGCUCCGGAAAGGGGACACCUGGUACCUAGUCGAUAGUCGCUGGUUCAAACAGUGGAAAAAAUAUGUUGGCUUUGACAGUUGGGACAAAUACCAGAUGGGAGAUCAAAAUGUGUAUCCUGGACCCAUUGAUAACUCUGGACUUCUCAAAGAUGGUGAUGCCCAGUCACUUAAGGAACAUCUUAUUGAUGAAUUGGAUUACAUACUGUUGCCAACUGAAGGUUGGAAUAAACUUGUCAGCUGGUACACAUUGAUGGAAGGUCAAGAGCCAAUAGCACGAAAGUGUCAACAUUCAAAGAAUGGAUGGAAAGAAAGCAAGGAUAUAAGCAGAAAAUACAAUGGAAUCAAAAUCCAAGAGAAACAGCAGACAAUAGAAACAGACCCAUAAGAAACCCAGGUAAUUGAGUUAGUAGAUUUUAGAAUAGUGGGCUUAUUAUGCUAAAAAAAAAAAAAAAGGCAGAUGAGAAGUAGGGCAAAACUAUUAAAGAAGAAGCAAAUAGAAUUCU
This 578-nucleotide small RNA is filed under the name Pan troglodytes (chimpanzee). RNAcentral describes it as "processed transcript". The record is from RNAcentral. Lineage: Eukaryota; Metazoa; Chordata; Mammalia; Primates; Hominidae.